RNAcentral lists this ribosomal RNA (253 nucleotides) under uncultured bacterium. RNAcentral's name for it is "partial 16S ribosomal RNA". It matches the Rfam family "Bacterial small subunit ribosomal RNA", at positions 524 to 776 of the family's 1533-position model. The record is from RNAcentral.
CACGUAGGGCGCAAGCGUUGUCCGGAAUUAUUGGGCGUAAAGAGCUCGUAGGCGGUCUGUUGCGUCCGCUGUGAAAACCCGGGGCUUAACCCCUGGCUUGCAGUGGAUACGGACAGACUAGAGGUAGGUAGGGGAGACUGGAAUUCCCGGUGUAGUGGUGAAAUGCGUAGAUAUCGGGAGGAAUACCAGUGGCGAAGGCGGCUGCCUGGCCUGUUCUUGACGCUGAGGCGCGAAAGCUGGGGGAGCAAACGGG